This 497-nucleotide ribosomal RNA is filed under the name uncultured bacterium. RNAcentral's name for it is "bacterial SSU rRNA". It matches the Rfam family "Bacterial small subunit ribosomal RNA", at positions 30 to 523 of the family's 1533-position model. The record is from RNAcentral.
AUUGAACGCUGGCGGCAUGCUUUACACAUGCAAGUCGAACGGCAGCGCGGGGGCAACCCUGGCGGCGAGUGGCGAACGGGUGAGUAAUGUAUCGGAACGUAUCCUGUAAUGGGGGAUAACCAGUCGAAAGAUUGGGUAAUACCGCAUACGCACGAGAGUGGAAAGUAGGGGAUCGCAAGACCUUACGUUAUAGGAGCGGCCGAUAUCUGAUUAGCUAGUUGGUGGGGUAAAGGCCUACCAAGGCGACGAUCAGUAGCUGGUCUGAGAGGACGACCAGCCACACUGGGACUGAGACACGGCCCAGACUCCUACGGGAGGCAGCAGUGGGGAAUUUUGGACAAUGGGCGAAAGCCUGAUCCAGCCAUGCCGCGUGCAGGAAGAAGGCCUUCGGGUUGUAACUGCUUUAGUCUAGGAAAAGGGUGCGAGGUUAAUACCUCGUGCUUUGAUGGUACUGGAAGAAUAAGCACCGGCUAACUACGUGCCAGCAGCCGCGGUAA